Molecule: ribosomal RNA, 119 nt
Filed under: Pteropus alecto (black flying fox)
Lineage: Eukaryota; Metazoa; Chordata; Mammalia; Chiroptera; Pteropodidae
Source: RNAcentral
AUCUACGUCCAUGCCACCCUGAACAAACCUGAUCCCGUCUGAUCUCAGAAGCUAAGCAGGGUUGGGCCUGGUUAGUACUUGGAUGGGAGACCACCUAGGAAGACCAGAUGCUGUAGGCG